UUAAGCGACUAAGCGUACACGGUGGAUGCCUAGGCAGUCAGAGGCGAUGAAGGGCGUGCUAAUCUGCGAAAAGCGUCGGUAAGCUGAUAUGAAGCGUUAUAACCGACGAUACCCGAAUGGGGAAACCCAGUGCAAUACGUUGCACUAUCGUUAGAUGAAUACAUAGUCUAACGAGGCGAACCGGGGGAACUGAAACAUCUAAGUACCCCGAGGAAAAGAAAUCAACCGAGAUUCCCCCAGUAGCGGCGAGCGAACGGGGAGGAGCCCAGAGUCUGAAUCAGUUUGUGUGUUAGUGGAAGCGUCUGGAAAGUCGCACGGUACAGGGUGAUAGUCCCGUACACCAAAAUGCACAGGCUGUGAACUCGAUGAGUAGGGCGGGACACGUGACAUCCUGUCUGAAUAUGGGGGGACCAUCCUCCAAGGCUAAAUACUCCUGACUGACCGAUAGUGAACCAGUACCGUGAGGGAAAGGCGAAAAGAACCCCGGCGAGGGGAGUGAAAUAGAACCUGAAACCGUGUACGUACAAGCAGUGGGAGCACCUUCGUGGUGUGACUGCGUACCUUUUGUAUAAUGGGUCAGCGACUUAUAUUUUGUAGCAAGGUUAACCGAAUAGGGGAGCCGUAGGGAAACCGAGUCUUAACUGGGCGUCUAGUUGCAAGGUAUAGACCCGAAACCCGGUGAUCUAGCCAUGGGCAGGUUGAAGGUUGGGUAACACUAACUGGAGGACCGAACCGACUAAUGUUGAAAAAUUAGCGGAUGACUUGUGGCUGGGGGUGAAAGGCCAAUCAAACCGGGAGAUAGCUGGUUCUCCCCGAAAGCUAUUUAGGUAGCGCCUCGUGAACUCAUCUUCGGGGGUAGAGCACUGUUUCGGCUAGGGGGCCAUCCCGGCUUACCAAACCGAUGCAAACUCCGAAUACCGAAGAAUGUUAUCACGGGAGACACACGGCGGGUGCUAACGUCCGUCGUGAAGAGGGAAACAACCCAGACCGCCAGCUAAGGUCCCAAAGUCAUGGUUAAGUGGGAAACGAUGUGGGAAGGCACAGACAGCCAGGAUGUUGGCUUAGAAGCAGCCAUCAUUUAAAGAAAGCGUAAUAGCUCACUGGUCGAGUCGGCCUGCGCGGAAGAUGUAACGGGGCUAAACCAUGCACCGAAGCUGCGGCAGCGACACUUAGGUGUUGUUGGGUAGGGGAGCGUUCUGUAAGCCGUUGAAGGUGACCUGUGAGGGUUGCUGGAGGUAUCAGAAGUGCGAAUGCUGACAUAAGUAACGAUAAUGCGGGUGAAAAACCCGCACGCCGGAAGACCAAGGGUUCCUGUCCAACGUUAAUCGGGGCAGGGUGAGUCGACCCCUAAGGCGAGGCUGAAAAGCGUAGUCGAUGGGAAACAGGUUAAUAUUCCUGUACUUGGUGUUACUGCGAAGGGGGGACGGAGAAGGCUAGGCUGGCCGGGCGACGGUUGUCCCGGUUUAAGCGUGUAGGGGGAGUGACCAGGUAAAUCCGGUUGCUUAUCAACCCUGAGGCGUGAUGACGAUGCACCACGGUGCAGAAGCAGUUGAUGCCAUGCUUCCAGGAAAAGCCUCUAAGCAUCAGGUAACAUUAAAUCGUACCCCAAACCGACACAGGUGGUCAGGUAGAGAAUACUCAGGCGCUUGAGAGAACUCGGGUGAAGGAACUAGGCAAAAUGGUGCCGUAACUUCGGGAGAAGGCACGCUGGCGUUAGGUGAAAGGACUAGCUCCUGGAGCUGAAGCCAGUCGCAGAUACCAGCUGGCUGCAACUGUUUAAUAAAAACACAGCACUGUGCAAACACGAAAGUGGACGUAUACGGUGUGACGCCUGCCCGGUGCUGGAAGGUUAAUUGAUGGGGUCAGCCGCAAGGCGAAGCUCUUGAUCGAAGCCCCAGUAAACGGCGGCCGUAACUAUAACGGUCCUAAGGUAGCGAAAUUCCUUGUCGGGUAAGUUCCGACCUGCACGAAUGGCGUAAUGAUGGCCAGGCUGUCUCCACCCGAGACUCAGUGAAAUUGAACUCGCUGUGAAGAUGCAGUGUACCCGCGGCAAGACGGAAAGACCCCGUGAACCUUUACUAUAGCUUGACACUGAACAUUGAGCCUUGAUGUGUAGGAUAGGUGGGAGGCCUUGAAGUGUGGACGCCAGUCUGCAUGGAGCCAACCUUGAAAUACCACCCUUUAAUGUUUGAUGUUCUAACUCGGCCCCAUGAUCUGGGGUGAGGACAGUGUCUGGUGGGUAGUUUUGACUGGGGCGGUCUCCUCCCAAAGAGUAACGGAGGAGCACGAAGGUUAGCUAAUCACGGUCGGACAUCGUGAGGUUAGUGCAAAGGCAUAAGCUAGCUUGACUGCGAGAGUGACGGCUCGAGCAGGUACGAAAGUAGGUCUUAGUGAUCCGGUGGUUCUGAAUGGAAGGGCCAUCGCUCAACGGAUAAAAGGUACUCCGGGGAUAACAGGCUGAUACCGCCCAAGAGUUCAUAUCGACGGCGGUGUUUGGCACCUCGAUGUCGGCUCAUCACAUCCUGGGGCUGAAGUAGGUCCCAAGGGUAUGGCUGUUCGCCAUUUAAAGUGGUACGCGAGCUGGGUUUAGAACGUCGUGAGACAGUUCGGUCCCUAUCUGCCGUGGGCGUUGGAAGAUUGAGAGGGGCUGCUCCUAGUACGAGAGGACCGGAGUGGACGAAUCACUGGUGUUCGGGUUGUCAUGCCAAUGGCAUUGCCCGGUAGCUAAAUUCGGAAGAGAUAACCGCUGAAAGCAUCUAAGCGGGAAACUUGCCUCGAGAUGAGUCUUCCCUGGGGCUUAAAGCCCCCUGAAGGAACGUUAAAGACUAUGACGUUGAUAGGCUGGGUGUGUAAGUGCAGCGAUGUAUUGAGCUAACCAGUACUAAUGAUCCGUGAGGCUUAACCUU
This 2906-nucleotide ribosomal RNA is filed under the name Yersinia pestis 1412. RNAcentral's name for it is "bacterial LSU rRNA". It matches the Rfam family "Bacterial large subunit ribosomal RNA". Lineage: Bacteria; Pseudomonadati; Pseudomonadota; Gammaproteobacteria; Enterobacterales; Yersiniaceae. The record is from RNAcentral.